Molecule: long non-coding RNA, 372 nt
Organism: Mytilus californianus (California mussel)
Lineage: Eukaryota; Metazoa; Mollusca; Bivalvia; Mytilida; Mytilidae
Exons: 3
Source: RefSeq, a predicted model, not a curated record
UCAAUAAAAAUGUAUCAUACAAUGUAUACGACCACCAUUUGACUUUAAACUUCAGUAUCAGUAGGUCUGGCAAUAACGUUAAAACAUGGCAAAAGUAAUGCUUAUUUUGAUAAUUGUAUUAGUCUGUGUUCAACAAGUUACAAGCGGAAUAGCUGCUGAGAAGAGAAAUGCAGAUAAAGACUGUUCCCAGAGAAUCAUAGACGAUUGUUCAUAUAAGGGAUGUAGUUAUAUACCCAAUGGAAUAGAUUGUGUUUGUUACUGUACGGGUGAUCAGGAUGAAAAAAGAAGAAAGUGAAGAUUUUGUCACCUAAGCCAUUGGAUGCCAAGUGCACGUAAUGGAUGCAUAUACUUAAUUAAAUAGUUUUCAUUUCA